GCUGAGUAAGAACUUGGGCAAUGUAGUGAACUCUGAGCCUGCUUUUUCUCCUCUGUAAGGUGGGCACAGCAGCACUAACCUCAUUGUUGCCGUGAGAGCUUGUAAUCCAUCUAUGUGAUGCGCAUGGGUGAGAGUCCAGAGGAGCUUGUUCUCCCUCCCUGCCUUUCCCACUCUCAUAGCCGAGUGAGGCUAAGGGUCUUGGAAGCAGAGUCUGUAACUGAGUGUGGGGCUAAGAGGGAUCUCUUCUGUAUCUGAGGGAACCACAGUGGCCCACUGAGAAAAUCUGGCUUCUGGCCAAGGGGGGACCUGAAGAUGUGAAGAUUAUGGCCCUGUCACAUCAUGUUUGGACUGCCAUAUCAGUUACCUCAUGGCCUCUCCAGCUUCCUGUUCCUUCCAGUCCAUUCCCCAUACUUAAUGCCUUCUUUAACAAUAGGAUAAAGCCUUUAGCUUAGUGUUUAGGAUCCAAUCUAGCUACCCCAUCUCCACAACAGUCCUCCAUAUGUGUAGUCAGAUAUUCCUUAACAGGCCAUAGUGUUUAUAUCUCUGUGUGCCUCCCUUUGCCUAAAAAGCUAUUUCUCUUCUUUGAAACAAC
This 592-nucleotide long non-coding RNA is filed under the name Marmota monax (woodchuck). Lineage: Eukaryota; Metazoa; Chordata; Mammalia; Rodentia; Sciuridae. The record is from RNAcentral.